Molecule: long non-coding RNA, 384 nt
Filed under: Bos taurus (domestic cattle)
Lineage: Eukaryota; Metazoa; Chordata; Mammalia; Artiodactyla; Bovidae
Description: long non-coding RNA NONBTAT025256
Source: RNAcentral
GUUAAGUUCAAUGUAGCAAUCUCCGCUUAGAAGUAAUGCAUAGGAAUGGACACUCCCAAUCCUCUACAGUCCUGUAGCAGAUCAAAAUAAUUAUAAUUAAAUGAUUCUUCAAAACAUUUUUUGAGAUAUGAGUCGUUUUCCCAGAAAUAGAUUUGGUUAUCAUAUUGGUUCAUAUUUUAUAUAUAUUCCUGUGAAAGGGCUAAUAUGAUGAUGCAUGUACUGAGGUACAGAGAUUUUGACCAUCUGUACUUUUCAACUACAGCGGUCACAUAGAUCAGUGCAACCCCAUAGAAUCAGUAAAGUUAGUAAGUGGAAAAGAUCCUUUAGGACAUCAUGAUUGCUAUUUCCAAAACUUAAAGGCAAACGUAGAAGAUUCUCAUCAAA